GCCUCCACAACCCCCGCCCCCCCCGCCCCCGCCACUGUCACCGCCCUGCUGCUCUCACUCACACUCGCCUGAAAUCCCAGAGCAGAGUAGACGCUCGUACCCCAGGGCAGGAAGGCACCACGGCAUCCGUCCCGUUUAGGGACCUCAGAGGAAGCCCGGUCCCCAGGCACAUGGCCAGAGAGGGCUGUCACGGCUUGAGUCACCAGUGUCCCCAGCCGGGAGCCAUUGCGGAUUUAGCUAACCUACUGUUUUCAUGGAACAUCGCGCAUGGCUCCACCACGUCCCUGCAAGGAGCUCCCGGAACUUGAGGUUUCAGGAGCGUAGUGAGUCCUGCAGGAAUUCGCCACAGUCUGGUCAAGGCAGUGCCCGCGGACGGACCCUGAGCAGCUCCCAUGUGUUUGCAAGCUCUCUGUGGUGAACAAGCUGGUGCACAAAUAAAUCUUUGCAUCCUGA
Long non-coding RNA from Suricata suricatta (meerkat), 453 nucleotides. RefSeq lists it as uncharacterized. The transcript has 3 exons. Lineage: Eukaryota; Metazoa; Chordata; Mammalia; Carnivora; Herpestidae. The record is from RefSeq and is a predicted model, not a curated record.